GUUACUUUUCUUUCUAUUGGGUGGCUAAGUGCUGCCUCCUCAGACCUUCGAGACAAUGAGACAUUUAUCAGGAAGUGAAGGAAGGACUGGAGUCCAAAUAAGGAGCUGGGAAAUGAUCACUGGUUCCAGCAUCAGUUUCUUGUGUCAUACCAGCAUGGAAACUCAACUAACACUGUGCUCACCUGGGAAAACUGAUAAAAGGCAGACAUGGGCUUCUGGUAGGUGCUGAACUACAGCCACUUGGCCUUCUAGAAGCUAAAGCCAUGUAGCAGUGUUAAGUGGAAGGCCACCUGCUGGUAUUUGCUCUGUGUUCCGCCUCAAAGGGUGGCUCUGAGGACAAAACAAGACAGAGUGGACAGAACAGGUGGUCCCGUGUGGCAGCCACAGAAAUGGCAAAGGGGUGCUGUUCCUCAAAGUGGUU
This is a long non-coding RNA of Perognathus longimembris pacificus (Pacific pocket mouse), 421 nucleotides long. RefSeq lists it as uncharacterized. The record is from RefSeq and is a predicted model, not a curated record. NCBI's taxonomy places the organism in Eukaryota, Metazoa, Chordata, Mammalia, Rodentia, Heteromyidae. The transcript is spliced from 3 exons.